GACGAACGCUGGCGGCGUGCUUAACACAUGCAAGUCGAACGGAAAGGCCCUGCUUUUGUGGGGUGCUCGAGUGGCGAACGGGUGAGUAACACGUGAGUAACCUGCCCUUGACUUUGGGAUAACUUCAGGAAACUGGGGCUAAUACCGGAUAGGAGCUCCUGCUGCAUGGUGGGGGUUGGAAAGUUUCGGCGGUUGGGGAUGGACUCGCGGCUUAUCAGCUUGUUGGUGGGGUAGUGGCUUACCAAGGCCUUGACGGGUAGCCGGCCUGAGAGGGUGACCGGCCACAUUGGGACUGAGAUACGGCACAGACUCCUACGGGAGGCAGCAGUGGGGAAUAUUGCACAAUGGGCGGAAGCCUGAUGCAGCAACGCCGCGUGCGGGAUGACGGCCUUCGGGUUGUAAACCGCUUUCGCCUGUGACGAAGUGUGAGUGACGGUAAUGGGUAAAGAAGCACCGGCUAACUACGUG
RNAcentral lists this ribosomal RNA (468 nucleotides) under uncultured bacterium. Its description in RNAcentral is "partial 16S ribosomal RNA". It matches the Rfam family "Bacterial small subunit ribosomal RNA", at positions 28 to 507 of the family's 1533-position model. The record is from RNAcentral.